GUGGGGAAUUUUGGACAAUGGGCGAAAGCCUGAUCCAGCAAUGCCGCGUGCAGGAUGAAGGCCCUCGGGUUGUAAACUGCUUUUGUACGGAACGAAAAGCCUGGGGCUAAUAUCCCCGGGUCAUGACGGUACCGUAAGAAUAAGCACCGGCUAACUACGUGCCAGCAGCCGCGGUAAUACGUAGGGUGCAAGCGUUAAUCGGAAUUACUGGGCGUAAAGCGUGCGCAGGCGGUUUUGUAAGACAGUGGUGAAAUCCCCGGGCUCAACCUGGGAACUGCCAUUGUGACUGCAAGGCUAGAGUGCGGCAGAGGGGGGUGGAAUUCCGCGUGUAGCAGUGAAAUGCGUAGAUAUGCGGAGGAACACCGAUGGCGAAGGCAAUCCCCUGGGCCUGCACUGACGCUCAUGCACGAAAGCGUGGGGAGCAAACAGGAUUAGAAACCCGGGUAGUCC
This 450-nucleotide ribosomal RNA is filed under the name uncultured bacterium. RNAcentral's name for it is "partial 16S ribosomal RNA". It matches the Rfam family "Bacterial small subunit ribosomal RNA", at positions 354 to 796 of the family's 1533-position model. The record is from RNAcentral.